ACGGAAAGACCCCGGGACCUUCACUACAGCUUGACAUUGGCGUUUGGAGCGUCUUGUGUAGGAUAGGUGGGAGACUGGGAAGCUCCGACGCUAGUCGGGGUGGAGUCAUUGGUGAAAUACCACUCUGGUCGUUUUGGACGUCUAACCCGCGCCCGUGAAUCCGGGUGGGGGACAGUGUCUGGUGGGUAGUUUAACUGGGGCGGUUGCCUCCUAAAAGGUAACGGAGGCGCCCAAAGGUUCCCUCAGCCUGGUUGGCAAUCAGGUGUCGAGUGUAAGUGCACAAGGGAGCUUGACUGUGAGACUGACGGGUCGAGCAGGAGCGAAAGCUGGGACUAGUGAUCCGGCAUCGGCGUGUGGAAGCGGUGUCGCUCAACGGCUAAAAGGUACCCCGGGGAUAACAGGCUGAUCUUCCCCAAGAGUCCAUAUCGACGGGAUGGUUUGGCACCUCGAUGUCGGCUCGUCGCAUCCUGGGGCUGGAGUAGGUCCCAAGGGUUGGGCUGUUCGCCCAUUAAAGCGGUACGCGAGCUGGGUUUAGAACGUCGCGAGACAGUUCGGUCCCUAUCCGCUGCGCGCGCAGGAGACUUGCGAGGGGCUGUCCCUAGUACGAGAGGACCGGGACGGACGAACCUCUGGUGUGCCAGUUGUUCCGCCAGGAGCACGGCUGGUUGGCUACGUUCGGUAGGGAUAACCGCUGAAAGCAUCUAAGCGGGAAGCUCGCCUCAAGAUGAGGUCUCCCACCACGAGAGUGGGUAAGGCUCCCUAUAGACGAUGGGGUUGAUAGGCCGGAAGUGGAAGCGUAGUAAUGCGUGGAGCUGACCGGUACUAAUAGGCCGAGGACUUGACCAUAU
Molecule: ribosomal RNA, 848 nt
Filed under: Microbispora triticiradicis
Lineage: Bacteria; Bacillati; Actinomycetota; Actinomycetes; Streptosporangiales; Streptosporangiaceae
Description: bacterial LSU rRNA
Rfam family: Bacterial large subunit ribosomal RNA
Source: RNAcentral